CCCUUAGAUGUUCUGGGCCGCACGCGUGCUACACUGAGUGGAUCAGCGGGUCAGGUUGCGCGAAAGCGUUUCCUAAUCUUUAAAUCCGCUCGUGAUGGGGAUUGACGGUUGCAAUUUUCUGUCAUGAACGAGGAAUACCUUGUAAGCGCGGGUCAUCAUCCCGCGCUGAAUACGUCCCUGCCCUUUGUACACACCGCCCGUCGCUCCUACCGAUGGAGUGGUCCGGUGAGGCUUUGGGAUCUGAGCGGAAAGAGCGUUUCGCUGUUUCUGCUCGGAAAACUCAGUCGAACCUUAUCAUUUAGAGGAAGGAGAAGUCGUAACA
This 322-nucleotide ribosomal RNA is filed under the name uncultured eukaryote. Its description in RNAcentral is "partial 18S ribosomal RNA". It matches the Rfam family "Eukaryotic small subunit ribosomal RNA", at positions 1470 to 1796 of the family's 1831-position model. The record is from RNAcentral.